Molecule: ribosomal RNA, 200 nt
Filed under: uncultured bacterium
Lineage: Bacteria
Description: partial 16S ribosomal RNA
Rfam family: Bacterial small subunit ribosomal RNA
Source: RNAcentral
AUUGAACGCUGGCGGCAUGCCUAACACAUGCAAGUCGAACGGCAGCACGGUCUAGUUUACUAGAUGGGUGGCGAGUGACGGACGGGUGAGUAAUGCGCAGGAAUAUGCCUUAAAGAGGGGGAUAACUUGGGGAAACUCAAGCUAAUACCGCAUAAUCUCUGAGGAGAGAAGCUGGGGACCUUCGGGCCUGGCGCUUUAAG